ACCGUUACGGGGGAAGCGGAUCGCGUUGGAUUGGUGGGCGCUUGUGUGUUCAGCCUUUAUGGUGCAUUGGCACAAGUGCUUAUCCGCUGUGGGUUCUCGGGGGUCGAUUUUGGAUCCCUGGGGACCGAGGGCUCCCUUUUUGGUGAGGACAGCGGAGUGACGACGCGAUACGACCCGUCUUGAAACACGGACCAAGGAGUCUAGCGCGGGUGCGAGUCAGAGGGUGCAAGCCCGUGGGCGAAGUGAAAGCGAGUGUAAAAACUAGCAGUUUGGGGCGGCAUAAGAUCGUUGAUCUCAAGACCGACCCAGAGCAGUUGCGCUGGGACCCGAAAGAUGGUGAACUAUGCCGGAGUAGGGCAAAGCCAGAGGAAACUCUGGUGGAGGCUCGUAGCGGUGCUGACGUGCAAAUCGCUCGUCGAACUUGGGUAUAGGGGCGAAAGACUAAUCGAACCAUCUAGUAGCUGGUUCCCUCCGAAGUUUCUCUCAGGAUAGCGGGCCGACAAGUUGUUUUGUGCGGUAAAGCGAAUGAUUAGCGCAAUCGGGGGCGUUUAGCCUUCGGGCGAUUCUCAAACUUUCAAUGCGCAAGGGUGCCGCUGCUUAAUUGAGCGGUACCGGUAAAAACGUCGGCCCUGUGGGCCACUUUUGGUAAGCAGAACUGGCGAUACGGGAUGAACCGUAAGCAAGGUUAAGGCGCCAAACUGCCCGCUUAUAGACCCCACAAAAGGUGUUGAUUCAUCGAGACAGCAGGACGGUGGCCAUGGAAGUCGGAAUCCGCCAAGGAGUGUGUAACAACUCACCUGCCGAAUGAAUUAGCCCUGAAAAUGGAUGGCGCUGAAGCGGGCGGCCGACACCUUGCCGUCUGGACAAGAAUUUCAGAUGAGUAGGAGGGCGUGGCGGCCGUGUCGAAGCGCGCGUGCAGACGCGUGUGGAACGGCCGCUAGUGCAGAUCUUGGUGGUAGUAGCAAGUAUUCAAGCGAGAUCCUUGAAGGGCGAAGUGGGGAAGGGUUUCACGCGAACAUUGAUUGGGCGUGAGUGAGUCGUUCCUAAGCCGAGUGGCAAUUGCUAAUUAACGGCGAAAGGGAAGCGGGUUGACAUUCCCGCACACGGAUGUGGAGGCGGCGACGCAUUAUUGGGGCGAACACGCUGGCGAUGGCGCUGGGCAGAGUUGUCUUUUCUGUUUGACCGCUUGCGCACGCAGUGUGGAAUCCGCUUGUCGGGAGAAACACGCGUGUACGGGCAGAGCGCUGGGGCUUUUCCAGCGUCCAGCUCGCCAUCGACGGCCCUUGAAACUUUGCCUGCUGAUUUAAGAUCCACGCCGUGGCGUACCGAUCACCGCAUCAGGUCCCCAAGGUGAACAGCCUCUGCUCAAUAUGAAAAAUGCAGGUAAGGGAAGUCGGCAAAUUAGACCCGUAACUUUGGGAAAAGGGUUGGCUCUAGUGCUGCGUGGGAGUGGUUGUCGGUUGUUGGCGUUUCUGGUGUGGCGGCUUGGCGCGGGGCCCUUUUUGGGACCUGUUCCUGCUGCUACGCUGGUGGCGGCGCGGCCGACGACGCCCACAGCAUGCAGCAGACUA
RNAcentral lists this ribosomal RNA (1571 nucleotides) under Fredericqia chiton. Its description in RNAcentral is "LSU rRNA". It matches the Rfam family "Eukaryotic large subunit ribosomal RNA", at positions 404 to 2110 of the family's 3401-position model. Lineage: Eukaryota; Rhodophyta; Florideophyceae; Gigartinales; Phyllophoraceae. The record is from RNAcentral.